GGAAGUGUGCCCGAAAGAUAAGGACCUCCUUGAUAGAGAGGACAAUAAGGGUUCGAACCCCCUCGCUUCCU
This 71-nucleotide transfer RNA is filed under the name Tepuihyla shushupe. RNAcentral's name for it is "tRNA-Ile". It matches the Rfam family "tRNA". From Rfam's summary of the family: Transfer RNA (tRNA) molecules are approximately 80 nucleotides in length. Their secondary structure includes four short double-helical elements and three loops (D, anti-codon, and T loops). Lineage: Eukaryota; Metazoa; Chordata; Amphibia; Anura; Hylidae. The record is from RNAcentral.